RNAcentral lists this ribosomal RNA (263 nucleotides) under Escherichia coli. RNAcentral describes it as "partial 16S ribosomal RNA". It matches the Rfam family "Bacterial small subunit ribosomal RNA", at positions 1 to 260 of the family's 1533-position model. Lineage: Bacteria; Pseudomonadati; Pseudomonadota; Gammaproteobacteria; Enterobacterales; Enterobacteriaceae. The record is from RNAcentral.
AAAUUGAAGAGUUUGAUCAUGGCUCAGAUUGAACGCUGGCGGCAGGCCUAACACAUGCAAGUCGAACGGUAACAGAAAGCAGCUUGCUGCUUUGCUGACGAGUGGCGGACGGGUGAGUAAUGUCUGGGAAGCUGCCCGAUGGAGGGGGAUAACUACUGGAAACGGUAGCUAAUACCGCAUAACGUCGCAAGACCAAAGAGGGGGACCUUAGGGCCUUUUGCCAUCGGAUGUGCCCAGAUGGGAUUAGCUAGUAGGUGGGGUAA